Molecule: ribosomal RNA, 406 nt
Filed under: uncultured bacterium
Lineage: Bacteria
Description: partial 16S ribosomal RNA
Rfam family: Bacterial small subunit ribosomal RNA
Source: RNAcentral
AUUGAACGCUGGCGGCAGGCUUAACACAUGCAAGUCGAGCGAGCGGCGGACGGGUGAGUAAUGUCUGGGAAACUGCCCGAUGGAGGGGGAUAACUACUGGAAACGGUAGCUAAUACCGCAUACCAUCAGAUGUGCCCAGAUGGGAUUAGCUAGUAGGUGGGGUAAUGGCCCACCUAGGCGACGAUCCCUAGCUGGGCUGAGAGGAUGACCAGCCACACUGGCACGGCGGCCCGGUCCAAACCCCCACGGGAGGCAGCAGUGGGGAAUCUUGCGCAUUGGGCGCAAGCCUGAUGCCGCCAUGCCGCGUGUGUGAAGAAGGCCUUCGGGUUGUGAAGCACUUUCAGCGAGGAGGCGUUACUCGCAGAAGAAGCCCCGGCUAACUCCGUGCCAGCAGCCGCGGUAAUAC